AUGGUUUUGCUGAACGAUGUGUCGAGUGCCUUGCUCUGUAACAACAUCGACCUGCCAGAAAUUCUGAUUGGUUCCUGCGACCACAGUGACACAGGCAUAACAGGCCUUUGUGAUUCACUGAAAAAUUUAGUGAUGCGGGCAGUGAGUCAGAGGUUUGGAACCUCCUCUUCUUCCCUUUCUUCAUAAGACUGUACGACUCGGUCGAGCACCCUUAUCUUCCUCUCCUGUCUCCCUCUACUGAACCAGUGGAGCAGAAAGUUAACCAUUACGGACCGCUGAGAUCCAACCAGAGAUCAUGUUGGGCAAAUGCAUAAACACUAUGGAGCACUGUCCGAGCAGCAGAUAUAUGGAACAGCAGAUCCCAGGAACAACAUCGGAGAUCUCUGUCCAGAAGAGCACAGUCCUGGGAACAGCUAAGAUACUGCGCAGGAUCCUCAAGCUCCCAGGCCUGAGGACCCGAGCUUGAAGGAAAAAGACCGCCCGCAAGGGCGAGCGGGGAAUUUUUUUUUUUUUU
Long non-coding RNA from Oreochromis niloticus (Nile tilapia), 514 nucleotides. RefSeq lists it as uncharacterized. NCBI's taxonomy places the organism in Eukaryota, Metazoa, Chordata, Actinopteri, Cichliformes, Cichlidae. The transcript has 2 exons. The record is from RefSeq and is a predicted model, not a curated record.